GGUGGCACACCAGUGAAUGACCUGGUACGAGUUUUGGUGGUGGCAGAAUCAAACACCCCAGAAGAGACUCCAGAGGAGGAGUUUUAUGCCUAUGUGGAACUUCAGACUGAGUUGUACACCUUUGGUCUGUCUGAUGACAAUGUGGUUUUCACUAGCGAUUAUAUGACUGUGUGGAUGAUUGACAUUCCCAAAUCUUAUGUGGAUGUGGGCAUGCUCACACGAGCAACUUUCCUGGAGCAGUGGCCGGGUGCCAAAGUGACUGUCAUGAUUCCCUACUCCUCCACCUUUACCUGGUGUGGAGAGCUUGGCGCCAUCUCUGAAGAAUCUGCCCCACAACCAAGUUUGAGUGCCAGAUCCCCGGUCUGUAAGAACAGUGCCAGAUAUUCUACCUCAAAAUUUUGCGAGGUAGAUGGAUGCACAGCUGAAACUGGCAUGGAAAAGAUGUCUCUGCUCACUCCAUUUGGAGGCCCACCUCAACAGGCUAAGAUGAACACUUGCCCAUGCUACUACAAGUACAGCGUGAGCCCACUGCCUGCCAUGGACCACUUGAUCCUAGCUGACCUAGCUGGCCUGGAUUCUCUCACUUCACCUGUUUAUGUGAUGGCAGCAUAUUUUGAUUCUACACAUGAAAAUCCUGUGAGACCAUCCAGCAAGCUUUAUCAUUGUGCUCUACAGAUGACAAGUCAUGAUGGGGUGUGGACUUCAACUUCCAGUGAGCAGUGUCCCAUUAGACUGGUUGAGGGCCAGUCUCAAAAUGUGCUGCAGGUCCGGGUGGCUCCGACAUCGAUGCCUAACCUGGUUGGGGUCAGCUUGAUGUUGGAGGGGCAACAGUACAGGCUGGAGUAUUUUGGGGAUCAUUGAUACUCAGUAACUUAAGAGGAAAUUUUUUUGUUAAAAAUAAAGUUAUUUUUAAAAAA
Molecule: non-coding RNA, 917 nt
Filed under: synthetic construct
Source: RNAcentral